GCGCCUUAGAUGCAACAGGGAAGGAAGGUCAUGGCGGCGGGUCUUGGAGCUCGUCGGUGAGAUCUAAAUUGGCAGCGCCAGACAGAUAGAAGCGGCUCCCAUGCGUUUAGGUGGAAAGGGGAGUCGAGGGGGAGAUCACGGCCUUGCGGGAGGGGUUGGUUGAGCAUAUAAGGCAUAGAAUCCCGAGAAACUAGGGAUUGGGGCAGGGUCAGCGUCGGGUUCGUGUCCGGCUCGGACACGGCUCAGGGUAGAAGAAGGGGAAAGGGACUGACCGGUGGGGUCGGGUUGGCAGAGAAAGAGAAGGAAGGAGACGCGUUGCUGGGCUGCUGCGCGCUUGGGCCGGCCUGAGGCGAAUUGGGCUGAAGACGAGAAGUGCAGGGCAGGCCGAGAGAGGAGGGGAGAGCGCUGGGCCGCGCAGAAGGGGAAGAGCUGGGCUCCAGAGUAGCCAAGGUUCAGGUUCUUUUUUUUCUCUUUUAUUUUUCUUUUAUUCAAAAGCCAUUUCAAGUCCCUUUUUAAAAUCAGUUUUGAAAUACUUUUGAACUUUACUCAAAGUCACACAGUACAAAAAUAUAAAUGCUCCAGCAUGAGUGCGCAUACAUGUUACUAAACCCUAUGAUAAGUUUUAAUUUACUGAAAAAUAUUAUUCCCCUAUGUUUCAUGAGCACAAAAAUUCAUAAAUAAAUCAUUUUUCACCUAUUUUUAAAAUGAGCAAAAUUUUGUGUGUUACAGUAAUUAAGAAUGUAGUCUGUGGAUUAGGAAAUAUUUCUUUAACAAAUAUACAAAGUAAGAACUUUCAAUAAAUAUACAGAAAACACUAAAUAUAUAACACAUUUUAUAUGGAUAAAAAUUAUGGCAACUAGUAAAAUCAAAACAUGAAGGUCA
This 882-nucleotide long non-coding RNA is filed under the name Sorghum bicolor (sorghum). RNAcentral describes it as "long non-coding RNA (SBIC_LNC007717)". The record is from RNAcentral. Lineage: Eukaryota; Viridiplantae; Streptophyta; Magnoliopsida; Poales; Poaceae.